Molecule: ribosomal RNA, 533 nt
Filed under: uncultured bacterium
Lineage: Bacteria
Description: bacterial SSU rRNA
Rfam family: Bacterial small subunit ribosomal RNA
Source: RNAcentral
AGUGAAUAGAUACCCUGGUAGUCCACGCUGUAAACGAUGGAUACUAGGUGUAACCGGUCUCGACCCCGGUUGUGCCGCAGCUAAACGCAUUAAGUAUCCCGCCUGGGGAGUAUGGCCGCAAGGUUGAAACUCAAAGGAAUUGACGGGGGCCCGCACAAGCGGUGGAGGAUGUGGUUUAAAUUCGACGCAACGCGAAGAACCUUACCAAGGCUUGACAUCCACAGAACCUGCUAGAAAUAGUGGGGUGUCCGAAAGGAAACUGUGAGACAGGUGGUGCAUGGCUGUCGUCAGCUCGUGUCGUGAGAUGUUGGGUUAAGUCCCGCAACGAGCGCAACCCUCGAUGUUAGUUACCAUCAUUAAGUUGGGGACUCUAACGUGACUGCCGGUGAUAAGCCGGAGGAAGGUGAGGACGACGUCAAGUCAUCAUGCCCCUUACGUCUUGGGCUACACACGUCCUACAAUGGCAUAGACAAAGGGCUGCAAGCUAGCGAUAGUGAGCGAAUCCCAUAAACUAUGUCUCAGUUCGGAUUGCA